This 488-nucleotide ribosomal RNA is filed under the name uncultured bacterium. RNAcentral describes it as "partial 16S ribosomal RNA". The record is from RNAcentral.
CACGUAGUUAGCCGGACCUUAUAGAUGGUACCGUCAUUGAUUCUUCCCAUUCUUUCGAAGUUUACAUACCGAAAUACUUCAUCCUUCACGCGGCGUUGCUGGGUCAGGCUUUCGCCCAUUGCCCAAAAUUCCCGACUGCUGCCUCCCGUAGGAGUCUGACCCGUUAUUCAGUGUCAGUGUGACCGACCGUCCUCUUAGACCGGUUACAGAUCGUAGCCUUGGUAAGCCAUUACCUUACCAACUAGCUAAUCUGCCGCAAGCUCCUCUUCAAGCGAUAAAUCUUUAACAACUGUCAUCUUGCGAUGCCGCUGCAUUAUGCGGUAUUAGCGUCCGUUUCCGGACGUUUAUUCCCCAUCAAAGGUAGAUUACUUACGUGUUACUCACCCGUGCGCCACUCUAUACACUCUCCGAAGAGAGCUUUUAAAUCGUUCGACUUUGCAUGUCUGAGGCACGCCGCAGCGUUGAUUCUGAGCCAGGAUCAAAACUCU